Non-coding RNA from Peromyscus maniculatus bairdii (prairie deer mouse), 356 nucleotides. NCBI's taxonomy places the organism in Eukaryota, Metazoa, Chordata, Mammalia, Rodentia, Cricetidae. The record is from RefSeq and is a predicted model, not a curated record.
GCCAAUUUCCUUGACCCUAUGGACCUGUCCUACUACAGAUCUAGUCAACCAAGCUUUCAGCAUCACAUGUUAUAAAAUCUAGAUGGUCUUGAUGAACACAAGUGAAGCAUCAGAGUGGGACUGGUGAUUUACAGUGUUAGUUCCCAGGCGAUACUGAUGCCGCUGGUCCUGGGGACACAGACAGUGCCCAUCCAAGGCAGAGGUCUGGAAUGUGGCUCUGGAGUCAUCUCUCAUGGUUAAUGCCAACGGCAGCCUAAUGGCAGAUCAAAUGAUGAAGCAAGGCCAUUCACCAGCUUAAAUCUGAUUUGUCUUAAUACAGCAUUUUACCAAGGAAAGCACCAAGGGGCCUCUGUGUU